RNAcentral lists this ribosomal RNA (253 nucleotides) under uncultured bacterium. RNAcentral describes it as "partial 16S ribosomal RNA". It matches the Rfam family "Bacterial small subunit ribosomal RNA", at positions 524 to 776 of the family's 1533-position model. The record is from RNAcentral.
UACGUAGGGUGCGAGCGUUGUCCGGAAUUAUUGGGCGUAAAGAGCUUGUAGGCGGUUUGUCGCGUCUGCCGUGAAAAUUCGAGGCUCAACCUCGAACUUGCGGUGGGUACGGGCAGACUAGAGUGUGGUAGGGGAGACUGGAAUUCCUGGUGUAGCGGUGAAAUGCGCAGAUAUCAGGAGGAACACCGAUGGCGAAGGCAGGUCUCUGGGCCACUACUGACGCUGAGACGCGAAAGCCAGGGGAGCAAACGGG